AUGAAGAGGACCAAAAAAUCUAUUCAGCUUUGUUAUCAACUAGGCAUCAGUGGGAACGUCAAGAUGAAUGAGUCAACUAAGUAUCAGAUCGACCAAACUGAACAAAUGAUAGCUCAAGAUCAUGUUGUUCAUUGGGAAUUGAAGAGGGGAGAACGAGUAGACAUCAAACGAUUAUUUUCUAUUUCUUGUUAUCAUGGAAUUCGUCAUCAAGAUGGGGCGCCCUUUCUCUGUUCUUUUUAUUCCAAACAUGAAAGCAUCAACAAAACUUCCCUUCCAUAUAGAUCGUCAUGGCAUGAACUAAAUUCUGCAUUUCCCCAACCCCACUACUGCCCGAAAUUCGCUUUCAUCUUGUGA
This 354-nucleotide ribosomal RNA is filed under the name Triticum aestivum (bread wheat). RNAcentral describes it as "partial small subunit ribosomal RNA". The record is from RNAcentral. Lineage: Eukaryota; Viridiplantae; Streptophyta; Magnoliopsida; Poales; Poaceae.